Long non-coding RNA from Mercenaria mercenaria, 415 nucleotides. RefSeq lists it as uncharacterized. The record is from RefSeq and is a predicted model, not a curated record. NCBI's taxonomy places the organism in Eukaryota, Metazoa, Mollusca, Bivalvia, Venerida, Veneridae. The transcript has 3 exons.
UUUAUUAUGUAAAAUAGAAACAUCCAACAUUACAAAUACCGCAAAAAGCUUUGAAAACUGAGUUUAAACUAUUUUUGUGAAAAGCAUAACUGUUUAAUUGCUGUGCGGCAAAAUUUAUUAAAGCAUACUGGAGCUAAAAAUUUCUACUAGGAAGCCUCUCUGUCUCCUUUACUUGACAAAAUGUGGCUUGGAAGCAGAUAUUUCAAAUUACAAACUAUCAUACUAUUAGUAACAAUUGGAGGAAGCAUGUGCAGCUUUCCAGUCAUAACUGGUAACCCAAGAUAUGUCUCAGUUUCCGAUGGUACUCCGGAUGGUAAUUUGCUGCUAUUCUUAAUAAGUUAAGAUGGUAUUUGGUCUAAAACUGUGCACUUUUUUUUGAUUAAUUUUAUAUCUAGAGGUGUUCUUUAAGGCCGAC